Molecule: ribosomal RNA, 301 nt
Filed under: uncultured bacterium
Lineage: Bacteria
Description: partial 16S ribosomal RNA
Rfam family: Bacterial small subunit ribosomal RNA
Source: RNAcentral
CAGUAGCCGCGGUAAUACGUAGGGUGCAAGCGUUAAUCGGAAUUACUGGGCGUAAAGCGUGCGCAGGCGGCUAUAUAAGUCAGAUGUGAAAUCCCCGGGCUCAACCUGGGAACUGCAUUUGAGACUGUAUGGCUAGAGUGUGUCAGAGGGGGGUAGAAUUCCACGUGUAGCAGUGAAAUGCGUAGAUAUGUGGAGGAAUACCGAUGGCGAAGGCAGCCCCCUGGGAUAACACUGACGCUCAUGCACGAAAGCGUGGGGAGCAAACAGGAUUAGAUACCCGAGUAGUCCCUGUCUCUUAUAC